RNAcentral lists this ribosomal RNA (579 nucleotides) under Triticum aestivum (bread wheat). Its description in RNAcentral is "partial small subunit ribosomal RNA". The record is from RNAcentral. Lineage: Eukaryota; Viridiplantae; Streptophyta; Magnoliopsida; Poales; Poaceae.
AUGUACUUGGAUAGCAUCGGGGCAAAUCAUGUUUGCUACAGGUUCAGUGAUCACGACCGUUCCAUGUUAUUACCCAAGGAGUUAUGCAAAGAGGGUACACUCAUAAUGGCACAGAUGUCAAAAUACCCUAAUUUGGGUUUUAAUCCCAAAGCACCUGACCAGAUAACCGUCGGAGAUGAUGUUAUUAGAAGACAUUACCAGGUGCUCUUCGGCAUUGCUUAUAUGGAUCUGUCUCGGGAAGAAAGUGUUGACAGCAGCUUGAAAGAGGCCCUUCUCUUCUUUGUUCUGCUAGCCGAAGCACUACGGUUUCCUGAGCUCGAAAAGUGGUUACUAAAUAUCUUGGCAAAGAAGUUGGAAAUGUCACUCCCGGUUAGUAUAACCAAGCUCUUCAAAAAAUGGGGAAAGCUCUCUCAGAUUCUUCAUAAAGGCAGAGAAAAGUUCAACAUUGACAAUAUUACUGAUACGGUGCUGAAGAAUAAAUGUAAAACAUAUAAUGAUGUAUGUUCCAAGUUAGGAAUAGCGAACAGAAUCAACUUGGGCAAAUUGGAGAAAAAGAAGAAGAAGAAGAACAGGCUCUAA